RNAcentral lists this non-coding RNA (476 nucleotides) under Gorteria integrifolia. RNAcentral's name for it is "partial tRNA-Leu". The stretch from base 1 to 393 matches the Rfam family "Group I catalytic intron", at positions 27 to 253 of the family's 253-position model. Rfam says of the family: Group I catalytic introns are large self-splicing ribozymes. They catalyse their own excision from mRNA, tRNA and rRNA precursors in a wide range of organisms. Lineage: Eukaryota; Viridiplantae; Streptophyta; Magnoliopsida; Asterales; Asteraceae. The record is from RNAcentral.
UAUGGAAACUUACUAAGUGAUAACUUUCAAAUUCAGAGAAACCCUGGAAUUAAUAAAAAUGGGCAAUCCUGAGCCAAAUCACGUUUUCCGAAAACAAACAAAGGUUCAGAAAGCGAAAAUAAAAAAGGAUAGGUGCAGAGACUCGAUGGAAGCUGUUCUAACGAAUGGAGUUGGUGGUCUUACGUUAGUGGAGGAAUCAUUCUAUCGAAACUUCAGAGAAGGAUAAACCUGUAUACAUAAUACAGAAGAAUUGCUGUGAAUCGAUUCCAUAUUGAAGAAAGAAUCGAAUAUUCAUUGAUCAAACCAUUCACUCCAUAAUCUGAUAGAUCUUUUGAAGAACUGAUUAAUCGGACGAGAAUAAAGAUAGAGUCCCGUUCUACAUGUCAAUACCGGCAACAAUGAAAUUUAUAGUAAGAGGAAAAUCCGUCGAUUUCAAAAAUCGUGAGGGUUCAAGUCCCUCUAUCCCCAAAAAGAGC